UACGAAGGGGGCUAGCGUUGUUCGGAAUUACUGGGCGUAAAGCGUGCGUAGGUGGUUCGUUAAGUCUGUCGUGAAAGCCCCGGGCUCAACCUGGGAAUGGCGAUGGAUACUGGCGAGCUUGAGUACGAAAGAGGAUCGCGGAAUUCCCGGUGUAGAGGUGAAAUUCGUAGAUAUCGGGAGGAACACCGGUGGCGAAGGCGGCGAUCUGGGUCGAUACUGACGCUGAGGUGCGAAAGCGUGGGGAGCAAACAGG
RNAcentral lists this ribosomal RNA (253 nucleotides) under uncultured bacterium. RNAcentral's name for it is "partial 16S ribosomal RNA". It matches the Rfam family "Bacterial small subunit ribosomal RNA", at positions 524 to 776 of the family's 1533-position model. The record is from RNAcentral.